This is a non-coding RNA of Echria macrotheca, 98 nucleotides long. NCBI's taxonomy places the organism in Eukaryota, Fungi, Ascomycota, Sordariomycetes, Sordariales, Schizotheciaceae. The record is from the annotation of a GenBank genome assembly.
UCUUCCGUAGUAUAGUGGUCAGUAUGUGAGCUUGUCAACCUCCUUUCACAGGGAAAAAGACUUCGCUCGAGACCCGGGUUCAAUUCCCGGCGGGAGAG